Molecule: long non-coding RNA, 808 nt
Filed under: Homo sapiens (human)
Lineage: Eukaryota; Metazoa; Chordata; Mammalia; Primates; Hominidae
Description: HSALNT0304928
Source: RNAcentral
UUCAAUCUAUGGAAACCUCAAUCCCACACACUAGUGGAUGGGUCCUGAGGGCUCUGUCCUUGGUGAGGACAGAUUGUCUUCUCCCUGGUUCUGUGUGCCCAAGGAGAGAGGGUGGAGGGCCCUGCUCUGCUUCCUCCCUGGCCCCACUGUGGCUUCCAGAACCUUGACCCUGGUGACAUCCCUCUAUCUGCCCAGGGCACUUUCCGAAAGGCCCCUGGGGCCGCCCGUGUGGAAUACUGCCAGCCAUGCCACCUGGGGGCAUUCUGUGGCAAAGCUGGCCUGGCCGAGCCCCAGGGCCUGUGCCACCCUGGGCAUCACUGCGGGCCUGGCUCCAACACCUCGUCCCUGAAGGGACUCCCCUUUGGUGACCUCUGUCCCCCGGGUCAUUUCUGCCCUGCUGGCACCAAGGACCCCAGGCAGUGGCUCUGCCCGGCUGGCACCUGGAAUGCAGAGAGAGGGGCACAGGACAUAAGCUGGUGCCUGCCUCGCCCACCUGGGCUCUUCUGUGCCACCACAGGCCAGGCUGCCCCUGGGGGCCCGUAUGCACCAGGUUUCCACUGCCCAGGAGGGGCGCAGACCCCGACACCCCUUGGUGGGCUGUGGGGACACUUCGAGGGCUCCCUGGCGGCCACACCUCGGCAAGACGGGGAGCACAGCUACGGCACAGGCUGAGAGACCCACCAGGGGAGGACCUGCUCCCCAGGUCAUUACUGCCCCCAGGGCACUAGCCACCUCCCUAGGCCCUGUCCUCCAGGCGUGUCCAGUCCCUGGGAGGACCGAAGCCAGGCCCACAGCUGCCCGCCAUGUC